This 440-nucleotide ribosomal RNA is filed under the name uncultured bacterium. RNAcentral describes it as "partial 16S ribosomal RNA". It matches the Rfam family "Bacterial small subunit ribosomal RNA", at positions 338 to 795 of the family's 1533-position model. The record is from RNAcentral.
CCUACGGGUGGCAGCAGUGGGGGAUAUUGCACAAUGGGGGGAACCCUGAUGCAGCGACGCCGCGUGGGUGAAGAAGCGCCUCGGCGCGUACAGCCCUGUCAGCAGGGAAGAAAAUGACGGUACCUGAAGAAGAAGCCCCGGCUAACUACGUGCCAGCAGCCGCGGUAAGACGUAGGGGGCAAGCGUUAUCCGGAUUUACUGGGUGGAAAGGGGGCGCAGACGGCGAUGCAAGCCAGGAGUGAAAGCCCGGGGCCCAACCCCGGGACUGCUCGUGGACCUGCGUGGCUGGAGUGCAGGAGGGGCAGGCGGAAUUCCUGGGGUAGCGGUGAAAUGCGUAGAUAUCAGGAGGAACACCGGUGGCGAAGGCGGCCUGCUGGACUGCAACUGACGUUGAGGCCCGAAAGCGUGGGGAGCAAACAGGAUUAGAUACCCCAGUAGUC